RNAcentral lists this ribosomal RNA (465 nucleotides) under Vreelandella stevensii. RNAcentral's name for it is "partial 16S ribosomal RNA". It matches the Rfam family "Bacterial small subunit ribosomal RNA", at positions 338 to 795 of the family's 1533-position model. The record is from RNAcentral. Lineage: Bacteria; Pseudomonadati; Pseudomonadota; Gammaproteobacteria; Oceanospirillales; Halomonadaceae.
CCUACGGGAGGCAGCAGUGGGGAAUAUUGGACAAUGGGGGGAACCCUGAUCCAGCCAUGCCGCGUGUGUGAAGAAGGCCCUCGGGUUGUAAAGCACUUUCAGUGAGGAAGAACGCCUGGUGGUUAAUACCCAUCAGGAAAGACAUCACUCACAGAAGAAGCACCGGCUAACUCCGUGCCAGCAGCCGCGGUAAUACGGAGGGUGCGAGCGUUAAUCGGAAUUACUGGGCGUAAAGCGCGCGUAGGUGGCUUGAUAAGCCGGUUGUGAAAGCCCCGGGCUCAACCCGGGAACGGCAUCCGGAACUGUCAAGCUAGAGUGCAGGAGAGGAAGGUAGAAUUCCCGGUGUAGCGGUGAAAUGCGUAGAGAUCGGGAGGAAUACCAGUGGCGAAGGCGGCCUUCUGGACUGACACUGACACUGAGGUGCGAAAGCGUGGGUAGCAAACAGGAUUAGAUACCCUGGUAGUC